Molecule: non-coding RNA, 2282 nt
Organism: Poecilia reticulata (guppy)
Lineage: Eukaryota; Metazoa; Chordata; Actinopteri; Cyprinodontiformes; Poeciliidae
Source: RefSeq, a predicted model, not a curated record
ACCACCUUCUAGUGUUUUACAGUGUAAAAAAUAGCAUAAAUAUUUGAAUAAUUCAGAUUUUCCUCCUCUGGUUCUGUGAUGACAUUUUAAGUCUGUUUCACCAAACCCAAAACAAUCUAAAGUAGAAACCAUCACAACCAACAGAGUUUUGGUUGUGAUGGUUUACGGCCCAGUUAGCGGCUCGUUGCGUUUCAUGACGCUGACGUCCGUCUGUACGGAGACAUGAGGAGGAAUGUCAGAAGAAGUGAUUUAUCGGCGUCGUGUAGGUGUGAAAGCUCAGCCAAAUGCUUUAUGGCCAGAUACACUUAGCUGUGUUUGGGCCGGUGAGGGAGGCUAAGCUAACGGGGAACGAGUUACGCUUCAAAGGGUCAGAGAGAAGAGGACAUUUAGAAAUAAAAGAGGAUGAAAGUCUAUUCAGAAAUCCUUAUCAGACUGCAGCAGCCGCUUGGUAAGAGGUAACUUUCUAACUUGACUUUGUGAUAAGAAUUAAAACUAAAUGUUUCAAUCAUCAAACGCUGAUUAUAGAUACAUGUGCCAAUGCGUGUGCCAGUUUUUCUGAUUAUAGCUCACAAACCCCUGCUCCCUGGCGUCAUUCGACAAGACUUGCCCCAUUUAGGAAAUUCAGGCUCCCACCGCCGUAAUCGGUUCUGGCACGCUGUGGGCUCCGUCUCUGCUAGGCCCCGCGUUCUGGAUCGGUUUUAAUUCCAGAGCAUAACAGCAAAAUGUCCAGGGUUUAUCACAAGGUCCAACUAAUUGACCGUCUGUACGGAGCUGCGGAGCGCUGACUCAGCACUUAACCGGCAGCCGCUAAAUGGGCUGAAGGGAAAGAGGAACAUGGCUGGACGUGAAGAGCAGAGCAGCAACAUCCGCACUGCUUUUACUAAACCUCUACCUGAAAUGGAGGCACAAGCAGCGUUCAUCGGAUGUCUGCGAGACAAACGUCCAGCAGGAUUACUUAUUUAGAUAACCUGAAACCCAAUUUAGGCAUUUUUCAUUUACAUUUCUGUAAAACCAGCAGAUUGUUUAGUGUCUGGCUUCAGUUCAUGUCCUCAAGUAAGUAAAAACCAACACAUGAAGAUACUUUAAACUACAAUGAAGUAGUGGAAUCAAACCAGGAUGUCAAAGGGCAUAAAGACUGCUCCAUUAUAUUCAUGAGACACGGGACAAAGAGAACAGAGCUGUGUUCAGGUUGUGAACUGAUUCACUACUACAAGCCAAAGAGUCGGCCAUUUUGUUGUGGUGCUUGAAAACGCUCACUAAGUUUGCCAUUAAUAAACUAAAGGAAAGAAACGUGCAAAGCAUUGGUUAAAACAAAAAAUAAUGCGCUGCAGCCUCAGAGUUAACCAAGUGUGCUAAUGCUAGCGCUAAUGUGGCUAAAUACUUUCAUUUUCACUCAAAUUGAAAACUCAAACUUAUCCAGAACGCAGAUUGUCUGAGCAACUUUCUUUAUGAGCAACGAGUUUAUUAGCCCUGUGCGCGUGACGUCACUCCACCCAGAACUCCGCCCACUCCGCCAUGACGGACCAAGACAACCAAUGGGCUCCUUUAAAGCUCGUUUGACUUCUGUAACCUGAUAUCGCUUCUGUUUAUUUGAUUUCAUUUUAGAAAUGGUCAUAGGAUGCUGCGCGGUCGGCUGCAUAACCAAACAAGGAUACAAACCAAACUUGGUAUUUUAUUUCAUAACUUUUAAUGAGGAAAGAUGCGGCAGCGAUGACAGCAGCUGUUAAUCAUAACGACUGUCAGCCUCGGGGUCAUCGUGGAUUUGUAGCGAAGGGUUUUUACAAGGCUUUCGUAACCAGAUUUCUGGUUCUGGGAGGCGUCKUGAUCCGUUUAGCGUGACUCUACCUGGAGACGACAUGAGCCUGCAGCUCGCCGUUGCGUUUAUGACGAAAAGCUGAAUACAGUGGAAAAAGAGCGGCGAACGAUCGGGCCGCCGACCUUCAGGGAGAAGGUGGGUUCUGGACGCCGCUCCACCAGAAACGAGGCACACGGUGUCCGGUUCUGGACGGGCCAAACGGGUCGCCGUCUGUGGAACAUGCUGAGCUACAGAUGAUGCUUCGUCAGCRGAUUUCUGCUGUGCCUUUCUGGACGUGACCAAAACGGAGCUGAACCUGCAGGAUAAACGGGCAGCAACAGGACGGCCGGGUCCGGAUCCUGUCAGCGCAAAGUUUCCAUCGUGGAGCGAAUAAAGAAGGUUGCACCUCUUCACAUAGCGUGACGGAGGAGCAGAGAGGACGAAGCCUGAUUGGGGUCACUUUGCCGUGUGACAUACAUGGAAGGAC